GUCUUCUGAAGAUGUAGCAGUUGUUAAGUGAAUAUUGUGCUUUGUGAUUUGAGGAUACACUUCACUGAGCACAUACAGAAAUAUACCUGGCCAAUGAGAUGAAGUUGUACCACUUCCAUCAGUCCCGACAUUUGUCAAAGAAGUGCAGUUUAUAAAUGACCAAGUGGAUGAAGCAGCCACACUCUCACCG
Long non-coding RNA from Schistocerca nitens (vagrant locust), 190 nucleotides. RefSeq lists it as uncharacterized. Lineage: Eukaryota; Metazoa; Arthropoda; Insecta; Orthoptera; Acrididae. The record is from RefSeq and is a predicted model, not a curated record. The transcript is spliced from 3 exons.